This 253-nucleotide ribosomal RNA is filed under the name uncultured bacterium. RNAcentral describes it as "partial 16S ribosomal RNA". It matches the Rfam family "Bacterial small subunit ribosomal RNA", at positions 524 to 776 of the family's 1533-position model. The record is from RNAcentral.
UACGUAGGUGGCAAGCGUUAUCCGGAUUUAUUGGGCGUAAAGAGAACGCAGGCGGUCUUUUAAGUCUGAUGUGAAAGCCUUCGGCUUAACCGGAGUAGCGCAUUGGAAACUGGGAGACUUGAGUGCAGAAGAGGAGAGUGGAACUCCAUGUGUAGCGGUGAAAUGCGUAGAUAUAUGGAAGAACACCAGUGGCGAAAGCGGCUCUCUGGCCUGUAACUGACACUGAGGCUCGAAAGCGUGGGGAGCAAACAGG